RNAcentral lists this transfer RNA (79 nucleotides) under Actinomycetota bacterium. RNAcentral's name for it is "tRNA-Val". Lineage: Bacteria; Bacillati; Actinomycetota. The record is from RNAcentral.
GGGCGUUUCUCCAGGUCCCGAGAACCCCUGUUUUACCUUCACACGGCAGAGGUCACUGGUUCAAUCCCAGUAGCGCCCA